CACCAAUAUACUCAUCAUAUCAAGCUCCAUUCCAUCAAGAUAAGGAUAAAGAAAAUGCCUCCGGACCAAGAACUGGAUUCUUUGUAGAUUAUGGAGAUGACUGGCAACUGUAUGCACAUGGAAAACACUCUAGUGGAGUGAAACUUCAAAUGAAUAUUGAAGACUUCAUCAAAAUUACACCACACAUAUCAGAAGAUGGGUCAGUUAUACUUGGAUCUAAGACAACUACAGUGUUUGUGGUUGAAGCUAAGACUGGAAGACUUGUUCACACUUAUAAGUCACUUGAUACUCCAUCCACAUUGCAAAAGAAGGGAGUGCUUUGCAUGAUGACAAUAAAAAUAAUAAGGAUCUGGUAAUGUCUGGCUCUUCAAGUACUGCUCAAGUCAUAUACAUCACAAGGACAGAUUACAC
Molecule: unclassified non-coding RNA, 411 nt
Filed under: Hevea brasiliensis (rubber tree)
Lineage: Eukaryota; Viridiplantae; Streptophyta; Magnoliopsida; Malpighiales; Euphorbiaceae
Source: RNAcentral